Telopea speciosissima is the source of this 104-nucleotide long non-coding RNA. RefSeq lists it as uncharacterized. The record is from RefSeq and is a predicted model, not a curated record. NCBI's taxonomy places the organism in Eukaryota, Viridiplantae, Streptophyta, Magnoliopsida, Proteales, Proteaceae. The transcript is spliced from 2 exons.
AUGGAGCAAAGGAAAUUAAUGAUACAAAAUAAAUAAACAUAAAGAGGAAAAUCAAUAAACAUAAUACCAAACAAAUGGGAACAGAACAAGUAACUAACCCUAAA